Molecule: ribosomal RNA, 398 nt
Filed under: Chlorocystis sp. ASV_307
Lineage: Eukaryota; Viridiplantae; Chlorophyta; Ulvophyceae; Chlorocystidales; Chlorocystidaceae
Description: SSU rRNA
Rfam family: Eukaryotic small subunit ribosomal RNA
Source: RNAcentral
CAAUAGCGUAUAUUUAAGUUGUUGCAGUUAAAAAGCUCGUAGUUGGAUUUCGGGCGCGCGGCGGCGGUCUCCCCUUGGGACGUACUGCCGCGGCGCGCCUUGGCGCCGGGGACGCGCGCCCGGGCUUGAUUGCUCGGGCCGCGGAGUCGGCGACGUUACUUUGAGUAAAUCAGAGUGUUCAAAGCAAGCCAACGCUCGCAUGUGAUAGCAUGGGAUAACACGACAGGACUCUGGCCUAUCGUGUUGGUCUGUAGGACCGGAGUAAUGAUAAAGAGGGACAGUCGGGGGCAUUCGUAUUCCGUCGUCAGAGGUGAAAUUCUUGGAUUGCCGGAAGACGAACAUCUGCGAAAGCAUUUGCCAAGGAUGUUUUCAUUGAUCAAGAACGAAAGUUGGGGGCU